UACGUAGGGGGCAAGUGUUAUCCGGAAUUACUGGGUGUAAAGGGUGCGUAGGUGGUAUGGCAAGUCAGAAGUGAAAACCCAGGGCUUAACUCUGGGACUGCUUUUGAAACUGUCAGACUGGAGUGCAGGAGAGGUAAGCGGAAUUCCUAGUGUAGCGGUGAAAUGCGUAGAUAUUAGGAGGAACAUCAGUGGCGAAGGCGGCUUACUGGACUGAAACUGACACUGAGGCACGAAAGCGUGGGGAGCAAACAGG
This 253-nucleotide ribosomal RNA is filed under the name Anaerostipes hadrus ATCC 29173 = JCM 17467. Its description in RNAcentral is "Anaerostipes hadrus DSM 3319 partial 16S ribosomal RNA". It matches the Rfam family "Bacterial small subunit ribosomal RNA", at positions 524 to 776 of the family's 1533-position model. Lineage: Bacteria; Bacillati; Bacillota; Clostridia; Lachnospirales; Lachnospiraceae. The record is from RNAcentral.